GCUUCGGUAGCUUAGUGGUCAAAGCGUCAAUUUGAAGCAUUGGAGAUUCUUGUUCAAUUCAAGGCCGAGGCA
This 72-nucleotide transfer RNA is filed under the name Schizophyllum commune. RNAcentral's name for it is "tRNA-Phe". It matches the Rfam family "tRNA". From Rfam's summary of the family: Transfer RNA (tRNA) molecules are approximately 80 nucleotides in length. The record is from RNAcentral. Lineage: Eukaryota; Fungi; Basidiomycota; Agaricomycetes; Agaricales; Schizophyllaceae.